GGGGAUAACAUUUGAAAACAGAUGCUAAUACCGCAUAGAUCCAAGAACCGCAUGGUUCUUGGCUGAAAGAUGCCGUAAGCUAUCGCUUUUGGAUGGACCCGCGGCGUAUUAGCUAGUUGGUGAGGUAAUGGCUCACCAAGGCGAUGAUACGUAGCCGAACUGAGAGGUUGAUCGGCCACAUUGGGACUGAGACACGGCCCAAACUCCUACGGGAGGCAGCAGUAGGGAAUCUUCCACAAUGGACGCAAGUCUGAUGGAGCAACGCCGCGUGAGUGAAGAAGGCUUUCGGGUCGUAAAACUCUGUUGUUGGAGAAGAAUGGUCGGCAGAGUAACUGUUGUCGGCGUGACGGUAUCCAACCAGAAAGCCACGGCUAACUACGUGCCAGCAGCCGCGGUAAUACGUAGGUGGCAAGCGUUAUCCGGAUUUAUUGGGCGUAAAGCGAGCGCAGGCGGUUUUUUAAGUCUGAUGUGAAAGCCCUCGGCUUAACCGAGGAAGCGCAUCGGAAACUGGGAAACUUGAGUGCAGAAGAGGACAGUGGAACUCCAUGUGUAGCGGUGAAAUGCGUAGAUAUAUGGAAGAACACCAGUGGCGAAGGCGGCUGUCUGGUCUGUAACUGACGCUGA
This 624-nucleotide ribosomal RNA is filed under the name uncultured bacterium. Its description in RNAcentral is "bacterial SSU rRNA". It matches the Rfam family "Bacterial small subunit ribosomal RNA", at positions 139 to 749 of the family's 1533-position model. The record is from RNAcentral.